GGCUGUGGUGAAGCUAACUCAAGAGCUUAACAUGUUGGAGGUGCCCAAUGAUUUUGAAUAGGUGUACUUUGACACCUCUUGUGGCCUUCGAGAAUUUUUUGGGGUUGGGGACAGGAUUUUGGAGCACGAUGAUCUUACACAAAUGUCAUCGUUAACAAUGGCUGAUGGUUUGGAUGACGAAGCUAGAACAAAUAGAAGGAGACGAAGGAGGACACGAUGAAGACAGUGAUUUGGAUACACAGAGGAGAAAAUAGGGUAAUGAGCAUGGAGAUAGGAUGAGGUUCACGUAAAUCAGAGGGUUUAUGACGAGUUCAUGAAAGAUUGUUGUUGUACAAGUACAUGGCCGAGCAAUUGUGGCAGCUCAAGGUGGUACAGCUUGUUGAGGUUCCUAAUGUACCUAACUACAAUUUACACAAAAAAAGUGUACCUAACUACAUUGGUAUUAGCACGACCAAUAAGACCAUAUAUAUGUAAUGACAGACAAGGCCAUAUGUAACUACAAUGACAUUAUCACAUAAAACACUGCAAGAUGAAUACAAAUAUUUAAGUAAAUAGGUUA
Molecule: long non-coding RNA, 559 nt
Filed under: Sorghum bicolor (sorghum)
Lineage: Eukaryota; Viridiplantae; Streptophyta; Magnoliopsida; Poales; Poaceae
Description: long non-coding RNA (SBIC_LNC004385)
Source: RNAcentral